GAUGAACGCUGGCGGCGUGCCUAAUACAUGCAAGUCGAGCGAACGGACGAGAAGCUUGCUUCUCUGAUGUUAGCGGCGGACGGGUGAGUAACACGUGGAUAACCUACCUAUAAGACUGGGAUAACUUCGGGAAACCGGAGCUAAUACCGGAUAAUAUUUUGAACCGCAUGGUUCAAAAGUAAAAGACGGUCUUGCUGUCACUUAUAGAUGGAUCCGCGCUGCAUUAGCUAGUUGGUAAGGUAACGGCUUACCAAGGCAACGAUGCAUAGCCGACCUGAGAGGGUGAUCGGCCACACUGGAACUGAGACACGGUCCAGACUCCUACGGGAGGCAGCAGUAGGGAAUCUUCCGCAAGGGGCGAAAGCCUGACGGAGCAACGCCGCGUGAGUGAUGAAGGUCUUCGGAUCGUAAAACGCUGUUAUUAGGGAAGAACAUAUGUGUAAGUAACUGUGCACAUCUUGACGGUACCUAAUCAGAAAGCCACGGCUAACUACGU
Molecule: ribosomal RNA, 496 nt
Filed under: uncultured bacterium
Lineage: Bacteria
Description: partial 16S ribosomal RNA
Rfam family: Bacterial small subunit ribosomal RNA
Source: RNAcentral